Long non-coding RNA from Cyprinus carpio carpio, 449 nucleotides. The record is from Ensembl. Lineage: Eukaryota; Metazoa; Chordata; Actinopteri; Cypriniformes; Cyprinidae.
GUAAAUGCAGAAUUCACCCUCAUCACCACAGUCCCCCGUUCUCAACCUUUAUGUCCCGACUGGAUCAUUACUAUAGCCAGCUAUUGAGGGUAUUCAAAAAGAAGGGGGGAACAGCAAGACGUGAUAUCGACAUAAUCAUUGCAGAAAUGGACAUGGCUACUGAGGAUAUUGGUAUUGAUGCAAUGACAGAAAUGGAGAGACUGGCUUUGGGUGUCUACAUUGUUCGAUAUGAUGGAGCAGAUGCUUCAGAUCCACCUGAGGAUGUUGGCGUCGUCAUUGAAGGCUGCACAGUGCUGCGAGAUCUGAGAGAGGUUGCAAAUGGAUGUGCAGUCCUGUUUGGCUUGAUCUAGUGUUUAAACUUGAGCUAUCCCAAGGAGCUGCGAUACACUUUCGAAUUUCUUCAGAAAGUGUCUAUGGAAUUGGAUGGGAACAAGCUCUCCACUAAAGUG